This 1309-nucleotide long non-coding RNA is filed under the name Homo sapiens (human). Its description in RNAcentral is "HSALNT0005821". The record is from RNAcentral. Lineage: Eukaryota; Metazoa; Chordata; Mammalia; Primates; Hominidae.
CUCCAGCAUCCGCCUGGCACCUGACACCUCCCUGCUAGCCAGUCCCAGAGAGCUCUUUUCCUCCAGACUAGCUGGGGCUGGAACUGCUUAGAAUCGGACCCAGAAGAGGCCGAGUUCCGUCCAGGACUAAAGGCAGCCUCCAGGGAAUAAAGCUGUCAGUGUGGGCGCAGACUAGGGAAGGGGCACUAGGUCGUUCAAGCUGAAUGCUGGGGUUCCACAGCCUCCUCACACCCCCUUUAGUGCCUCAGGUAGAGUAGGCUUGUGGGGACACUGAGGUUUCCUCAGGUCCUUUCCCUGCUCAAUAACUCUCCAUGGCUCGCCACUACCCACUGCAUAAAGCCCUAACUCCUAUACCUGGCAUUUGGGAGCCUCUGUGAUUCCACUUCUUCAGUCUCUUCUCCUCCCUAAGCCCCCAUGCCCCAGCCACAGGGGCUACUUAGGUGCCCCUCCUGCUCCCCUUUCCCCUUGCACCCAAACCUUCUCUGCUCAUGUGCUAUUUCCUGGGGCCUUCUCUAGGGCUCAUUCCCUAGUUGGAGUUAAAUUCUGCUUCCAAGGAAUCAGCCACCCAAAUAACAAACCAGUCCACCUGAGAAUCUAGUCUGUGAUGCAGCGUCAAUAGCUUCUGAUGAAUUUGCUUCUGACCAGUAGCCUCCAGGGGUCAUAAAACAUUCACAGAGAGGAACACAGAGAAGGUAAUGGGGGUCUGUGUGUGGGCAGGUGGGGUGGGGUGGGUGAAGGAAAAGCUUUUUUUUGGCCACUGUGCUUUUUCCUCAAGCACCGCCCUACCAUGGGAUGGGGAUUUGACUGAACUUCUCACGUCAAGAAUGAGUACAGUUUACAUAGCUAAGCCUUUAUAAACAUCCACUUUCCCUCAGGCCUACCCAGGAAGGGUUUGUUAUAUCUAUUUUACAGAUGUGGGUCUUCAGGCUCAGAGAAGAGAAGGCAUUGUUUGCCCAUGAAUGUUUGCAAGUAAAUAGCAGAGCUGGGACUCAAAGAGUCCGGAUCUGGGGCUCCAUCAUGAAUCUCUAAGAGUGGCCCAGAGAUUCUCACGUUCCCUAGUCAUUCACCCACGUGCCUCAGCUGCAGAACCUGUCCUCAAGGUGCUCACAGGCUGAGGGAAGGCAGACAGAGGACAAGUGGCAACCUACAAAACACCAAAUGGGCUCCAUACUCAACCAAGGUGCCCCUCAGCCAGAACUGGACACAUUGCCAGAGAACUCCAGGGGUCAUCUGGUCGGCUCAGCCUCCCGGUUUCCGACAGACAGUCACCAUAGACUCACCUGAACUGUGAGAAGUAGAGGAAGGCGUC